AACUGACCUGCCCUCAUGGCGAGCACCCGGAUCCAGCUGUUUGAUGUUAAUCAGCAGAUCCUGUCGAUGUGAAAAUUUCAGGUGAUCAGGUGGUGCCCUCUGGCUCCCAGUCUAUGGAAGAGCUGGGCAACACGGUGGUGGGGUUUGGUGCAUAUUCACACCACACCUUUAGGUCCCUGUACAAUGUGCAGGACGAAGAGAGUCGAAUCUGUCUGGAUUGGGUACGACAGCUGACGGUGAUGGCUGAGUCCAGGAUAGGCCGUCUGAGGAGCUAGGUGCCUCCUCCUCGGAUCCACCACCUGACGCUGUAGUGCCUGAGCGCUGAGGUCAACUCUCCCCGCACAUACAGGGGCACCCCACCAGCCGUGGCCUUCGUCUACUAAAUUCUGCUCCGACUGAAUUUCGUUCACGGACGCACUCCCUAAGGCAGAGACAAUGUCUUUCCACCCCGUGUUUCGCUUUGAGCCCUCGUCCUCUGAGCUCACCCUUCGGCCCUCUGCAGCCGCUGAAAUAUUUCUCAAGCAGGGCUCUGUCAGUGGCGGGCAGGUGAAGAGGGCCGAUGUGGUUCGAGCCGAGGCGAGGGCAAGAGCAUGGAGCAAGUAUGCGGACAACAGCGAGCAAGCAGUGCUGGCCGAAAGUGAGCUCCAGAUCGGCCAGUACGGCGGCCAAACCUUCCAGUGGCUGCUGAGUAACAAUGUGGGGUUCGCUGGUCCCACCAGAAGGAGAGAGAGGGAGGGGACACCACAACUACGCCCCAGAUGCUGAACAAGGACGCCCUUGCCUCCUACGCCCGGCUGUAUGACGCGCGGGACCAAGAGAGUCGAACCUACGUGAUACGAGUUCAGGCCGGCGACAGACGAGAGCGCCGACGAACUCGGCAGCAGCGAGGACUGCAGCAGUGUGGGAGCCGCGCGGGCAGCAGUGCAAGUUGGGGAGGGCCCGGAGCGGCUGCCCA
Molecule: long non-coding RNA, 955 nt
Organism: Alosa alosa (allis shad)
Lineage: Eukaryota; Metazoa; Chordata; Actinopteri; Clupeiformes; Clupeidae
Exons: 6
Source: RefSeq, a predicted model, not a curated record